This 72-nucleotide microRNA precursor is filed under the name Papio anubis (olive baboon). RNAcentral describes it as "mir-622 microRNA precursor family". It matches the Rfam family "mir-622 microRNA precursor family". RNAcentral also lists the same sequence under 1 other name. The record is from Rfam by way of RNAcentral. Lineage: Eukaryota; Metazoa; Chordata; Mammalia; Primates; Cercopithecidae.
CAAGUACUGGUCUCAGCAGAUUGAAGAGAGCACCACAGUGGUCACCAUGCAGUCUGCCGAGGUUGGAGCUGC